GUACUUACCUGGAAAGGGAGAUGCCACGGCCACUAAGGUGGUUUUCUCCCAGCAAGGCUCACCCAUUGCCCUUCAGGUGUGCUGAGCCCUGCGCUUUCUCCAAAUGUGGGCCACUCUGCAUAAUUUGUGAUAGUGGGAGACUGUGUCCACUCUCUCCCC
Molecule: small nuclear RNA, 159 nt
Organism: Phyllostomus discolor (pale spear-nosed bat)
Lineage: Eukaryota; Metazoa; Chordata; Mammalia; Chiroptera; Phyllostomidae
Product: U1 spliceosomal RNA
Exons: 1
Source: RefSeq, a predicted model, not a curated record